Molecule: ribosomal RNA, 481 nt
Filed under: uncultured bacterium
Lineage: Bacteria
Description: partial 16S ribosomal RNA
Rfam family: Bacterial small subunit ribosomal RNA
Source: RNAcentral
GAUGAACGCUGGCGGCGUGCUUAACACAUGCAAGUCGAACGAAACACCUUAUUUGAUUUUCUUCGGAACUGAAGAUUUGGUGAUUGAGUGGCGGACGGGUGAGUAACGCGUGGGUAACCUGCCCUGUACAGGGGGAUAACAGUCAGAAAUGACUGCUAAUACCGCAUAAGACCACAGCACCGCAUGGUGCAGGGGUAAAAACUCCGGUGGUACAGGAUGGACCCGCGUCUGAUUAGCUGGUUGGUGAGGUAACGGCUCACCAAGGCGACGAUCAGUAGCCGGCUUGGGAGAGUGAACGGCCACAUUGGGACUGGGACACGGCCCAAACUCCUACGGGAGGCAGCAGUGGGGAAUAUUGCACAAUGGGGGAAACCCUGAUGCAGCGACGCCGCGUGAGUGAAGAAGUAGUUCGGUAUGUAAAGCUCUAUCAGCAGGGAAGAAAAUGACGGUACCUGACUAAGAAGCCCCGGCUAACUACGUG